Molecule: non-coding RNA, 2324 nt
Organism: Physcomitrium patens
Lineage: Eukaryota; Viridiplantae; Streptophyta; Bryopsida; Funariales; Funariaceae
Source: RefSeq, a predicted model, not a curated record
AUCGCUUGUCGUUUUUGGUGGCGUUCUCAUUGCAUUGCUUUCCAUUGUGAUUUGCAUCGUCUUGUGCUGCUCCGUUUUGCCCAAUGCGGAAGCUGUGAACGAUUGCAAACGAUUGAAUGCAUUAUCACUCACUGUCACUUCAUUGCAGUGAAGACAUUGAAGUCUUACUACCGUGCAGUGCGUGUCAGGUUUUUGAAUUGCUUUACGUUGUGUGGUAGCCAUCUUGUGGGUAAUUGGAUAACUCGACAUUCGCGCGGCUCAAUUUGCAUUAUCGAUCGAUAGGCUUUCGUCAUCGCUACAGCAUCCAGAUGCUCUUCUUGUCAAUGUUACAAUUUAUCAUGAUCAGGUUGCGAAUGAUAUCAUGCUUCGAAAUCAUGUAGAGAUUGCUGGCAUUAGUACGUGGACCAUGCAGUUAUUACACAGCUACAGUACCCAUUGGCUGGCCACCUCAAGCUUUUGCUCUGAUUGUGGAUACUGGCAGUACCAUUACUUACGUUCCCUGUUCAUCUUGCUCUCAUUGUGUCUCCCACCAGGACCCAAGAUUCAAGCCAAACCAAUCGAGCACCUACACUGCAAUCCAUUGCGACGACCUAGAUUGUGAAAUGGGAACUUGCAUUUACAACAACCAGUGCAGUUAUGCCAGACACUAUGUGGAGCAGAGCUACAUCAGUGGGUACCCCUAGCCGGGACUUUGUGCGGUUGGGAGUCGGCAGCUUCGCCUUGAGUCGGUCUUUAAUUUUUGGUUGUGAAACUACCGAGAGCGGAAACUUAUACUCGCAGCUCGCGGAUGGGAUAAUGGGCCUUGCCCGAGGAUCUUUUGCUAUCGUGGACUAGCUGAACGCGCAAGGGGCGAUUGCGAGUGCGUUUUCGCUUUGCUAUGGCGGCAUGGACGAGGAAGGGGGAACAGUGAUAUUGGGAGCCAUACUUCCCAGCUACGGAAUGGUCUUCACCCGUUCAAAUCCCUCUCGCAGCUAGUACUACAACGUCGUCUCGCGGGAGAUUCGGAUCCAAGGCGAGCCUUUGCCAGUAAAGCCCAGUGUCUUCGAUGGACGCGACGGCACAAUCCUCGACAGUGGAACUAUGUUUGCGUAUCUUCCAGAGAAAACAUUCAAUGCCUUCCGAGAUGCUGUGAGAACCUCCAAUCUCAUCUAUGCAUCUGCUGCCGCAGGGAUUGCACGUUUAUCAUGAUUGUGAUGAUAAUUUCUGCAGGGGAAAUGACUUCCAAUAUGAAGGGACUUGGAAAUAGUUGGGCAGUUUGUUCGAGGUGUGAAAGACCUCGAAGAAAUCGAUGGUCCCGAUGCAAAUUUCAAAGAUAAAUGCUACUCAGGUGGGGGGAGGUAAACGCCAACGCGAACAUACUAAUAAGACUGCCAACAGCUUAUCGUCAAAGUACACUUUCAUGACCUGGUUGUAAAUGCGGUUGAUGCAGUGACCUGGAGAAUUUAAGCUCCUGUUUCUCAUCGAUCGACUUCGUAUUUGGAGACGAUAAGAUGGUGUCUUUGGCGGCAGAGAAUUACCUCUUCAGGGUAGGCACACACUCCCUUUCCCUUCAUUUUGGGACUAAAUGCUUCUCGACGACACGCGAUGCGAGGGCAACAUCAUCAACAUGAGUUGGAGAGAAGGAACAACCAUUGCAAUGUGCCAUCCAGGCCUGAAACUGCACACUCUUUCAUCUCGACUUCCAUCCCUGUGGGUCCUCACAGUUACCCGUGGUGGCUCUUGCGACGGCGACCUGCACAGUUUUGCAAUGUAUUCUCGAUGGUGGAUUCCAGGCUGCACACCAAAGCAUCGUGUUGGAACAACGGCAUGGAGUGACCCACCUUCGAGGAGCAGCAACACAACACAACACAUUACAAUUCUGCAAAGCUUCCUUUCCAUCCAUUAAUGCAACGCAAUGCAAUGGAAGCCCCAGCUGCCGUUUCGAACCUAGUCUCCUUUACGGUGUGUGCGUGUGUGCAUGUGUAUGUGUGUUAGUUCUGCAAUGCUAUCAUGCAGUGGAGUAUGCACCCGCAUUAGCAAACUGAUGCUCUUCGUAGUUUCAUUGCUAAUGAAUGACAAACAACAAGAACCAGACUUAUUGUGAAGAGGAGGAGGAAUGCAGAUCGUGCAUGAAAAUGAGCUCAGACUUGGUUCUGGUUGUCCUUCACCCUCAUUCACUCAAUCACCUUUAUCCCUGGGACACCACUUACUUACUUUAUUUAUUUAUAUAUCUAUCUAUCUAUCUAUCUAGAAGACUACUUUCAAAGUACUUGACACUAAAAUUCUUAUAAACAUUUAUUGAUUGGGAUAUAUAUAUAUAAAUUUUAUACAUUUUUUUCUUGAAA